This 331-nucleotide unclassified non-coding RNA is filed under the name Cadophora sp. Its description in RNAcentral is "partial contains 5.8S ribosomal RNA, internal transcribed spacer 2, and large subunit ribosomal RNA". Lineage: Eukaryota; Fungi; Ascomycota; Leotiomycetes; Helotiales; Ploettnerulaceae. The record is from RNAcentral.
AACGCAUCUUGCGCUCUCGGGUUAUUCCUGAGAGCAUGCUUGUUGGAGUGUCGCGAAACUCUCAACCCCGCCUAAUCUGUUUUGGAUUGGGUUGUUUGGGCUUGGAUCAUGACCUUUUUUGCCGAAUCCCUUGGGACUGGGCUGGGUUGAAAUACAUCAAGCUGAAUCAUAACGUGCGGCUUGACCUGUUGUUGUAAGCAUCCACUUUCAAUGGGAACGCAUGAUUUGAAUGAGCUUUACAAAUGGAUGAACUCUGGGAGUGAGACCUUUGCGGGUUUUGCGUCCAGUGCAUUCUGACCUCCAAUCAAGUAGGACUACCCGCUGAACUUAA